This 253-nucleotide ribosomal RNA is filed under the name uncultured bacterium. Its description in RNAcentral is "partial 16S ribosomal RNA". It matches the Rfam family "Bacterial small subunit ribosomal RNA", at positions 524 to 776 of the family's 1533-position model. The record is from RNAcentral.
UACGUAGGGGGCAAGCGUUGUCCGGAUUUAUUGGGCGUAAAGAGCGUGUAGGCGGCUAGAUAGGUCCGUUGUGAAAACUGGAGGCUCAACCUCCAGCUGUCGAUGGAAGCCAUCUGGCUAGAGUCCGGAAGAGGAGAGUGGAAUUCCUGGUGUAGCGGUGAAAUGCGCAGAUAUCAGGAAGAACACCCGUGGCGAAGGCGGCUCUCUGGGACGUGACUGACGCUGAGACGCGAAAGCGUGGGGAGCGAACAGG